AUUGAACGCUGGCGGCAUGCCUUACACAUGCAAGUCGAACGGUAACGGGCCUUCGGGUGCCGACGAGUGGCGAACGGGUGAGUAAUACAUCGGAACGUGCCCGAUCGUGGGGGAUAACGAGGCGAAAGCUUUGCUAAUACCGCAUACGAUCUACGGAGGAAAGCAGGGGACCGCAAGGCCUUGCGCGGACGGAGCGGCCGAUGGCAGAUGAGGUAGUUGGUGGGAUAAAAGCUUACCAAGCCGACGAUCUGUAGCUGGUCUGAGAGGAUGAUCAGCCACACUGGGACUGAGACACGGCCCAGACUCCUACGGGAGGCAGCAGUGGGGAAUUUUGGACAAUGGGCGCAAGCCUGAUCCAGCCAUGCCGCGUGCAGGAUGAAGGCCUUCGGGUUGUAAACUGCUUUUGUACGGAACGAAAAGCCUUCUUUUAAUACAGGAGGGUCAUGACGGUACCGUAAGAAUAAGCACCGGCUAACUACGUG
Molecule: ribosomal RNA, 482 nt
Filed under: uncultured bacterium
Lineage: Bacteria
Description: partial 16S ribosomal RNA
Rfam family: Bacterial small subunit ribosomal RNA
Source: RNAcentral